AGAUGUAUAGAAAGACUAUGAAAGGAAUGAAUUAAUACCAAGUUGGUUGCGAUAUAACUUGACGGGAUCAAUGAUAUUCUUUUCUUAGAGUGGAUUAAAUUUAUUUGAUUAGGUUAAGAUUAUUUUCUGUAUUAAUUUUUUAUUUAUUUAGAGAAGACCAAUAAUUUGUACCAAAAAAAAAGAGAAGACCAAGAGGAGGAAGAGAAUUGUUCAAAAAAAAAAAAGGAGGAAAAUAGUACAAUUAUUUUAAGACAUUUAUACGGG
This 264-nucleotide long non-coding RNA is filed under the name Trifolium pratense (red clover). RNAcentral's name for it is "long non-coding RNA (TPRA_LNC004328)". Lineage: Eukaryota; Viridiplantae; Streptophyta; Magnoliopsida; Fabales; Fabaceae. The record is from RNAcentral.